Non-coding RNA from Phrynosoma platyrhinos (Desert horned lizard), 72 nucleotides. The record is from the annotation of a GenBank genome assembly. NCBI's taxonomy places the organism in Eukaryota, Metazoa, Chordata, Lepidosauria, Squamata, Phrynosomatidae.
AGCACCAUAGUGUAGUGGUCUGAGUAUUAGGCUCUGACUCUGGAGACCAGGGUUCAAAUCCCCAGUGGGCCA